AUUGAACGCUGGCGGCAUGCCUUACACAUGCAAGUCGAACGGCAGCACGGGGCAACCUGGUGGCGAGUGGCGAACGGGUGAGUAAUGCAUCGGAACGUGCCAUUGAGUGGGGGAUAACGUAGCGAAAGUUGCGCUAAUACCGCAUAUUCUGUGAGCAGGAAAGCAGGGGACCGCAAGGCCUUGCGCUCUUUGAGCGGCCGAUGUCAGAUUAGCUAGUUGGUGAGGUAACGGCUUACCAAGGCGACGAUCCGUAGCGGGUCUGAGAGGAUGAUCCGCCACACUGGAACUGAGACACGGUCCAGACUCCUACGGGAGGCAGCAGUGGGGAAUUUUGGACAAUGGGCGCAAGCCUGAUCCAGCCAUGCCGCGUGAGUGAAGAAGGCCUUCGGGUU
This 392-nucleotide ribosomal RNA is filed under the name uncultured bacterium. RNAcentral describes it as "bacterial SSU rRNA". It matches the Rfam family "Bacterial small subunit ribosomal RNA", at positions 30 to 424 of the family's 1533-position model. The record is from RNAcentral.